CUAUGUCUAAAUCAUUAAGACAUGGCGGAAGGAG
Molecule: non-coding RNA, 34 nt
Filed under: unclassified sequences
Description: L31-Firmicutes ribosomal protein leader
Rfam family: L31-Firmicutes ribosomal protein leader
Source: RNAcentral